UACGUAGAUGGCAAGCGUUGUCCGGAUUUAUUGGGUUUAAAGGGUGCGUAGGUGGUUUUUUAAGUCAGUGCUGAAAUAUCCCGGCUUAACCGGGAGGGUGGCAUUGAUACUGAAAGACUUGAGUAAAGUUGAGGUGGGCGGAAUUGACGGUGUAGCGGUGAAAUGCUUAGAUAUCGUCAAGAACACCUAUUGCGAAGGCAGCUCACUAAGCUUUAACUGACACUGAGGCACGAAAGUGUGGGGAUCAAACAGG
Molecule: ribosomal RNA, 253 nt
Filed under: uncultured bacterium
Lineage: Bacteria
Description: partial 16S ribosomal RNA
Rfam family: Bacterial small subunit ribosomal RNA
Source: RNAcentral